UAUUGGACAAUGGGGGCAACCCUGAUCCAGCCAUGCCGCGUGAGUGAUGAAGGCCUUCGGGUUGUAAAACUCUUUUGGCGGGGACGAUGAUGACGGUACCCGCAGAAUAAGCCCCGGCUAACUUCGUGCCAGCAGCCGCGGUAAGACGAAGGGGGCUAGCGUUGUUCGGAAUUACUGGGCGAAAGCGAGUGUAGGUGGUUUUCCAAGUUGGAUGUAAAGCCUUGGGCUAACCCAAGAAAUGCAUUCAGACUGAAGCAGGACCGGAGAGGAUAGUGGAAUUCCCAGUGAGUGGUAAAACGAGAAAUUGGAAGACACCAGUGGCGAGGCGGCAUCUGGCGGUUCUGACAAAGCUAAAUACG
This 359-nucleotide ribosomal RNA is filed under the name uncultured bacterium. Its description in RNAcentral is "bacterial SSU rRNA". It matches the Rfam family "Bacterial small subunit ribosomal RNA", at positions 362 to 755 of the family's 1533-position model. The record is from RNAcentral.